GCAUGUCAAUUCCUAUGCAAUGUGAAGGAAACUUCUGAGAGCAUGAAGCCUCAUGCUGCUGCAAAGUUCCAGGAUAUAUAUCUAGUAUGUCAUUACUGGCAUCAAUCUUUAGGAUGUCAACAUUUUCAUCGAUGCAAACCCUUCUUCUUUUGGUCCUGAAACCAUCAAUUGGAUAUUCAAGAUCUUCACUUGAAAACAAAGAACUAUCAAGCAUCAGGCUUGUUUGUGAGGAGCAACCCUGCAAGAAAGGUUUUCC
RNAcentral lists this unclassified non-coding RNA (256 nucleotides) under Hevea brasiliensis (rubber tree). Lineage: Eukaryota; Viridiplantae; Streptophyta; Magnoliopsida; Malpighiales; Euphorbiaceae. The record is from RNAcentral.